Molecule: ribosomal RNA, 433 nt
Filed under: uncultured bacterium
Lineage: Bacteria
Description: partial 16S ribosomal RNA
Rfam family: Bacterial small subunit ribosomal RNA
Source: RNAcentral
AACGAACGCUGGCGGCAUGCCUAACACAUGCAAGUCGAACGAGACCUUCGGGCCUAGUGGCGCACGGGUGCGUAACGCGUGGGAACCUGCCCUUAGGUUCGGAAUAACUCCCCGAAAGGGGUCCUAAUACCGGAUAAUGUCUUCGGACCAAAGGGUUAUCGCCUUUGGAUGGGCCUGCGUUGGAUUAGCUAGUUGGUAGGGUAAAAGCCUACCAAGGCGACGUUCCAUAGCUGGUCAGAGAGGAUGAUCCGCCACACUGGGACUGAGCCACGGCCCGGACUCCUACGGGAGGCAGCAGUGGCGAAUAUAGGACAAUGGGCGAUAGCCUGAUCCAGCAAUGCCGGGUGAGUGAUGAAGGCCGUAGGGUUGUGAAGCUCUUUUACCCGGGAUGAUAAUGACAGUACCGGGAGAAUAAGCUCCGGCUAACUCCGUG